GUGACAAACCGGAGGAAGGUGGGGACGACGUCAAGUCAUCAUGGCCCUUACGACCUGGGCUACACACGUGCUACAAUGGCCAGUACAGAGGGCUGCAAACCCGCGAGGGGGAGCCAAUCUCACAAAGCUGGUCGUAGUCCGGAUCGCAGUCUGCAACUCGACUGCGUGAAGUUGGAAUCGCUAGUAAUCGUGAAUCAGAAUGUCACGGUGAAUACGUUCCCGGGCCUUGUACACACCGCCCGUCACACCAUGGGAGUGGGUUGCAAAAGAAGUAGCUAGGCUAACCUUCGGGAGGCCGGUUACCACUUUGUGAUUCAUGACUGGGGUGAAGUCGUAACAAGGUAGCCCUAGGGGAACCUGGGGCUGGAUCACCUCCUUA
RNAcentral lists this ribosomal RNA (379 nucleotides) under Porticoccaceae bacterium. Its description in RNAcentral is "bacterial SSU rRNA". It matches the Rfam family "Bacterial small subunit ribosomal RNA", at positions 1155 to 1533 of the family's 1533-position model. The record is from RNAcentral. Lineage: Bacteria; Pseudomonadati; Pseudomonadota; Gammaproteobacteria; Cellvibrionales; Porticoccaceae.